Long non-coding RNA from Syngnathus typhle (broad-nosed pipefish), 1136 nucleotides. RefSeq lists it as uncharacterized. The transcript has 4 exons. The record is from RefSeq and is a predicted model, not a curated record. NCBI's taxonomy places the organism in Eukaryota, Metazoa, Chordata, Actinopteri, Syngnathiformes, Syngnathidae.
CACCACGUGACCGUCCUGCAGGGCUUUCACCGUGCAGCUCAGGAUGGCAGCAACAUCUGAGGGGAACACCAAUGUAUUGAUUGACCAAAUGGAAAAACUGUGCUGAAUUGCCACGUUUUCAAGACUUCAACAGAAAUGCUGUUCGAAUUGUCCCCGUUCAAACAAUCUCGUGGUGCUUCGGAGAAAGUUGGAACGCACAAGUAGCAACGAGUUGAUGACAAGACCAGUCCGACAGGUAGGCGCAUCCAACCACCUGAUGCAAUAUGCCGCCAUGUUAGCUUGCCUCGAUCUUUAAAGUAUCUCUAUCAAAGAUACUUGGGGUCAUUUGUUGGUUGUUGGGGCGAUUGUGCAGUGACCUACCGGUAGGAAGAAACGGCCCGUCGCCUGUGACUGGCCCCAAAUGCAGCACUUGGGUCUUGAAUCGAUGACACAUUUCACUUCCGACACGGCAAACGGCAGAACGGUGAGCAGCUCUGGAUUGAAUUAGUAGUACUGCUAGCUCUCCAAGAUACUUCAUCAAAGCGUUGACAAGUGGAAGAGGUGAAACAUGGUCAAGACGCACGGGCGGCACGGCAUGAGUCAGUAGGGAAGCAAAGUCUUCCGGGUUACGCCCCCAAUUCAUGACGUCACCUUCCUUAAAGGCUUAAAAAUAAAUAAAUAAAAAACAAAACCCAUUCACAGAAGUCAUUUGACAUCAAACACAUUGUUACUUGCAGUACUGAAUAUUUGGGUUCAUUUCAAAGAUACUAUUUACGGUCGAGCACGCCCACGAUGACGUGUUUCGUUGGCUAUUUGAAUCAGCUGCCGGUGGCCCCUGAACUUGACUUGUAAUGCAUUCUUUGGAAAGUGGCUAAGUUUGUUUGUUUUUUGAAGUAACGCGCUUUAGAGAUCGACAAAAGCCUCCGCAAUGUCUGAGGCCAAUGAUGCAAGUGCACCUGCAAUGAAAACGGAGGAGAUUAACGAGAGAAUACGGAUUACGAGUGAGAAAAUAACCGUGUGCGAUCGAAUCUUGGAGGACUUGAAAGCUCUCCAUCAUGUUCUGACGCAAUUUCCCCAGGAUGCGACCUCGCCGCCGCCGCCGCCACAAAAAUGACAUGUUGAAAGAAUAAAAGGAUGACGCUGUUGUGAGACAAUAA